This 3602-nucleotide long non-coding RNA is filed under the name Homo sapiens (human). RNAcentral's name for it is "HSALNT0088083". The record is from RNAcentral. Lineage: Eukaryota; Metazoa; Chordata; Mammalia; Primates; Hominidae.
CUUUUGAACACGUUCCACCAGCUGCACAAUGGUGAAAUGGAUGAGGUGAGAAAGGCCCGGACCACACCGAGAAUCGAAUGCAUGGUAAACAUAGGGCCACGGGGAAGUCUUGACACCGCUCGGCAAGAUCUCUCACCGAUGGAUCCACCCUCUAUGUUUUCUGAUUGGACACAUUUCCUGAGAUGGGAAGGAUCAUGCUAUUGGCUGAGGCUGCAUCAGGGGAGUAAUAUUUACUCUGGAAAAUCUGGGAGAGGGUGUCCCAGUCUGUGAACUACCCAGACCCCCACGUUCACAGAAUACUAGGAUGAGGAGGAUCCCAAGGAACACCUGCAUCAACUCUCAUGUUCUACAAGGGAAGAAGCCAGGUCUCAGGGACAUUAAAUCACUUUCCCAAAUGUACCAAGCUAGUUAGAGUGAAGAAAGAUCCUAUUUAUCCCAGUUCCCAGUGAAAUGCCAUUUCUGCUCCAUACCUUCUCUUCUCCAUGUGUCCUAUGCUCUCGCACUUUUUGUGCUGCUUAGCGUUUUGCCCAGAGGUGUGCCAGAGAUUAUUGCUCAUUCUUUCUCCUUCCACGGUCACAACACCUCCCUGGGCUGGUGUCACCUCUUACUUUGCAAUUCAAAACGUUGAAGAAGGUGCGACCUGUCUAGAUUUUCGUGUAGCCUUCUCUCCUGAUUGCUGUUUCAGAUAACACAUUCAGGGUGUUGGUAAAUAGCUGUGAAUCAGAGCCUCGGGGACAGCCUGGUUUGGUGUGUGGAUAGUCUGGCUAAUGUCAUAGCAGUCCCUGCCUUAAAUAUCAAUGUCCGAGGAAGGUGGGAUGCUGUUUCCAAAAGAUUGAUUUGCACUUCUGCUAAUAUAUGGCUGAGUGUUCUUUAAAAUGGAGUAUUCUGCUUGCCCUCUGCCACCUUCACAACACCCUAAAUCUUUGGAAGAACGUGCUUCUUGUUGGACCUACAAGUGGGGAGCAUCUUGCCUUGUCCGGCCUGUCCCAGUUUCUCGGGAACCCUUGAGGUUUCUGUCCCUGUUCCACAUACUUAGCCCCAUCUCCAGGCUUCCUGUCCAUCAGCCUGAGAGACCAUACUCUAGGAGUCUUAAGUGCUGAGUUCCCUAGUGGGAACUCACUGGACUGCAACGCCCCAAGUCCCUCCUUCUCUCUCUGUGCCUUGGGAUGGGCUUUGUGCCAGCUGUGCCCAUCCUGCUGUUCUGCAGCUUGGUGCCCCUUCCUAACGUGAUGGGCCUCUGCUAAGGUCAUGUUCUUUCACCAACCCAGGGUCCUUCCAGCUCCUCCACCAAAACAGUGCCCUGGUUGUCCUCACUUGUCCCAUCUUCAGCAGGGAGGCACUUGAUUCUGUGGCAUUUGGCACUGCUCACUGGGCUUUCUUUUCUUUUCACUGUAAGACUCAUGCAUUAGAUCUGUCUUGCUAUAGUCCUAACAAUGUCUCUGUGUCCCCACUCCCAUUCAACUCUUGCCAUUCUCCAGCCAUUGCUCUUGAAGAAUGUGGGACUAAUAACCCUGGGUAGGGUCACAAGGCCCUGCAGAGGUGAUGCCAUGAAGUUGCCUACACAGAACUGCCUCCCUGCUAAGAGUUCCAGGAUCAAAUUCUUCUAGGUGCCUGCUUGGGUGGGUCCUCAUCCCCACCCCUGCCCAGGGCACCAUCUGUGGGAGAUUAGGAGGUAAUCACUGUCUACCCCUCAGACACCACGUGCUGCAUGACUGUGUCCUGAGGCAGCCACAUGGCUGCCAGCUCUGAAGGUCCUGAGAUCCCCAUUCUGAGGCCCUUCGCUGACUCACUGCUCUCAUUCUUCUUUCUCUGUCCACUCUCAGGGCAACUACAUCCACACGGUGAAGGCAGGGCCUGUGUAGUGGAUGCCAGGCUGUCUUCACGUACAUUUCUCUUUCUCUUAAGCAUCCUGGACCAUAAAGCCCUAGUGUGCUGCUCCUACCUUGCCAGUAGGACUCCUGUCUCAGCUCCGUCUCCUGAAGACUGACCCUACAGGAGAGAUACAAGCAUCUCCUGUUACCUGUGCCCAGAUGGUCCUUAAAAAAUCAUUUUCCUAUUUGAUAAACAUAAAAAUGUUAUGUCUGACCAGCCAACAGGCUCUAGACCUGAGCCAUCUAGGAAGAUGAGGCCCCACCCCUAACUGGUGCCCUCUUUGCAGAUUCACUGAUGCAGAUUCUUGUCAGCAGAGAUAACUUGUCAAAUUUUACUUUCAUCAAGAGAAAUAUAAUUAGAGUGAUGUACUUUUCAUUUCUAAAUUAUGAAAUUCUAUUAUAAUGUGAAAUAUGUAUUUUCAAAGUAUACAUACAUUUCCUUUUAGAAAUGUUGAUAUACCUCCCUAGGAACUUUCCUUCCUUUUGUUAGAAAAUCAAUGCUGUAAAAUGUUAGGGAACAAAAGAAAGGUAUGGAGGAAGAUCAACCUUGUGGGACCCAGGAAGAAGCAGGGAAGAAGAAUCCCACUAUGAAACUACCUUUCCAGGACAAAUAAUGUUCUCAGAAAUGGGCAUGUACUUUGUCUCCAGGCAGAUAGCCUGCCCAUUACAUUUUUGUUUUGUUUUGUUUUGUUUUGUUUUGUUUGAGACGGAGUCUCACUCUGUCACCUAGGCUGGAGUACAGUGGCACGAUCUCGGCUCACUGCAGCCUCCACCUCCUGGGUUCAAGCGAUUCUCCUGCCUCAGCCUCCUGAGUAGCUGGGACUACAGGUGCCUGCCACCAUGCCCAGCUAAUUGUUGUAUAUAUUUUUUAGUAGAGAUGUGGUUUCACCAUGUUGGCCAGGCUGGUCUCGAACUCUUGACUUCAAGUGAUAUGCCUACCUCGACCUCCCAUUACGUUUUAAAUAGCACAGCUCUCUGCUACGUUGUAUAUUUCCCAAAUAAAAAGUUUUCAGCUCAAUCUCUAGAAAAGCUCUGCUUUAUCAACUUUCUGUUUCUCAUGCCAUGAGUUGACUAUGACUCUCUCACGCACCUGCCAAUCAGUUUUAUCACUUGCCAUUAGGAGGUCCUUGGGAAGCAAUGGGAAAGCUCCCCAGUCCAGAGAAACUAACUUCAGGCAUGUGUCUGAACUCAGAGGCUCCAACCAAGAGCAGGGAAGGGCCUUGUGGGAGGUGAGUGCAUUUUGGAUAUGGGGAGCAAGGCUGGUGGGAUUCUGCUAACGAAACUGAUCACAGGUGACAGGGCUCUCCUUUGAACUUGAUUAUUUUUAAAGUUCACCUCUCCCUGAUCCAUAACGAGGUCUGGUGAGACUUGUCAUAGUCCCAGAAUUAUUUCGAUCAUUCCAGCUCAGCCGAAACAAUGAGAGAACAUCAAUAUGGCAACUCCUCAGAUGUCUGGGAAGAGGGAUCAUCACCCAGGCCUGGGAGCUCUGCGCAGUUUUGUCUGCCUUGGCUCCAAAGUGCUCUUUGCCCUUAACACUGCACCACUGUACAGAUUCACACAGCUGGCACUAGCUCCACAGUGGCUAAGGUUGUGCUGCUUAGGACUGACCUGGAGGAGAGGGGAGAAAAAGAUGGUAUUAGUGGCUCCCUUUCAUGUCAACAGGUUCACUGAAAAAGGAGCAAAGGGCUUAGUCAUGUUUUAAUGCUCUCAAAGCUUACUAUGUAUCCAGGA